UACGGGGGGGGCAAGCGUUGUUCGGAAUUACUGGGCGUAAAGGGCUCGUAGGUGGCCCACUAAGUCAGACGUGAAAUCCCUCAGCUUAACUGGGGAACUGCGUCUGAUACUGGAUGGCUUGAGUUUGGGAGAGGGAUGCGGAAUUCCAGGUGUAGCGGUGAAAUGCGUAGAUACUGGGAGGAACACCAGUGGCGAAGGCGGCUACCUGGACCGGUUCUGACGCUGAUGCGCGAAAGCGUGGGUAGCAAACAGG
RNAcentral lists this ribosomal RNA (253 nucleotides) under uncultured bacterium. Its description in RNAcentral is "partial 16S ribosomal RNA". It matches the Rfam family "Bacterial small subunit ribosomal RNA", at positions 524 to 776 of the family's 1533-position model. The record is from RNAcentral.